This 253-nucleotide ribosomal RNA is filed under the name uncultured microorganism. RNAcentral describes it as "partial 16S ribosomal RNA". It matches the Rfam family "Bacterial small subunit ribosomal RNA", at positions 524 to 776 of the family's 1533-position model. The record is from RNAcentral.
UACGGAGGGUGCGAGCGUUAUUCGGAAUCACUGGGCGUAAAGGGCGCGUAGGCGGCCUGGUAAGUCAGGGGUGAAAUCCCACGGCUCAACCGUGGAAUUGCGCUUGUGACUGGCGGGCUCGAGUACGGUAGAGGGGGGUGGAAUUCCUGGUGUAGCAGUGAAAUGCGUAGAGAUCAGGAGGAACACCGAUGGCGAAGGCAGCCCCCUGGGCCUGUACUGACGCUCAUGCACGAAAGCGUGGGGAGCAAACAGG